Mycena metata is the source of this 95-nucleotide non-coding RNA. Lineage: Eukaryota; Fungi; Basidiomycota; Agaricomycetes; Agaricales; Mycenaceae. The record is from the annotation of a GenBank genome assembly.
GCUUCUGUGGAUCAGGGUAGAUCACCCCAGUUAUGUGAUUGCUUGCUGUGUUGCAUAUUUACGGGGAGACGUGGGUUCGAAUCCCGCGGAAGGCA